Molecule: transfer RNA, 76 nt
Filed under: Thermoprotei archaeon
Lineage: Archaea; Thermoproteati; Thermoproteota; Thermoprotei
Description: tRNA-Trp
Source: RNAcentral
GCGCCGAGUCCACGCCGCUGAACGAGCCUCUCCAACAGGCUCGGGCGAAUCCCGGGUUCGAAUCCCGGCCGGCGCA